AUGGAAAAAAAAACUCGCCAUUUUGUGGACCACCGCAAUGUGAAGCUACUGGCUGGAGCAGGUGGGAAAGGGGCCUGCACCUUCCAUAGUGAGCCCCGGAAAGAGUGGGGUGGACCGGACGGAGGGAAUGGAGGAGAUGGUGGGAACAUCAUCAAAAGUAGAUCAAAGUUGUGGAGAAACGCCAGCACAACCUACAUCGCUGUGCCAGUGGGCACGGUGGUGAAGGAGCAGGGGGAGACUAUGGCAGACCUCUCCCAGCAUAGCCAGGAGUACGUGGCUGUUUUUGGAGGGGCGGGGGGAAAGGGGAACCGCGCUUCCUGUCCAAUGAGAACCGUGCCCCAAUGAUGGCCACCCCGGGAGAGAGAGGCCAGGAGAGUUGUCCUCCAGCUGGAGCUGUGUACCAUGACCCAUGCUGGACUGGUUGGGUUUCCCAAUGCAGGGAAGUCUUCUCUUCUAUGGACCAUCUCCAAUGCCAGGCCUGCUGUGGCUACCUACCCCUUCACAACCCUCAACCACACGUCGGCAUUGUUAAGUACAGGGACCAUGAGCAAGUGGCAGGGCAGCAUGUGAGAGUAAUGGACAAUAAGUGGGCCAGAGUUCUGUGGGACUACCUUUGUCUGCACCAAUCUCUGGAAAAGAGUGAUGUCAUAAUAGGCCUGGGUUGCCAUGAUGUGCGUGUGGCAGAGAGGUCAGCUGAUCUCUUCCUGGAAGGAUUGGCUCCUUGGCUGCUUUUCACUGGUUACUUAGGCAACCAGACUGCAGGUGUGUGGACGAGGCCAGAAGCUGACGUGUUCUUGGAUGUUGCUCUGAGGAUGGGAGUGCCCAGGAGGAACAUACUGCUGGAGACAGAGGCCACCAACACUGGAGAGAACAUCCGCUUCUACAGGCUCCUCAAGGAGAAUAACAUCCCAGCCCACAGGGUGAUCCUGGUCCAGCAGCCCUUUAUGGAGCGCAGGGUUUUUGCUAUCUUUCUGCACCAGUGGCAUGACCAGGGGGAACACACGCAUGCCAUCGUCACCUCCCCCCAGAUGGGAAUCUCUGCCUACCCCCACUUCACAGCACUUACAUGCUAGGUGUUCUAGAGAGGAUCCGUGACUACCCACAGAAAGGCUUCCAGUUGGAACAGGAGAUCACACCCAGUACUCUCUCUGCCUACCAAUGGCUCCUGCACGCUGGCUACUUUCCCAGGUGAAUGCACAACACACAUGCCCAUGCAUGAACGCCUGCACACACUUCCACGUACACACACACACUUGUCCCUAUGUUUUGCUAUUGUUGAUGCUGCUGAUAAGUUGGGAUGGUUAGGAAUUGAACAUUAAAUCACAGUAAACUUAUAUUUAGAAAAUAUGUUUGUUUCAUUGAAACCGUGAAUUGAGAUGCAUGAAAAUAUACCACAGAACUCUGCAUUACUACAUAAGUAAAACUAAAUGAAUGUAAAACAAUUACCUUUACCUAGAUACCAAUAAACACAUAUAGAAUAUACAUUCAAAGCCAACACCAAUA
Salmo salar (Atlantic salmon) is the source of this 1503-nucleotide non-coding RNA. The record is from RefSeq and is a predicted model, not a curated record. Lineage: Eukaryota; Metazoa; Chordata; Actinopteri; Salmoniformes; Salmonidae.